Molecule: non-coding RNA, 403 nt
Organism: Pelobates cultripes (western spadefoot toad)
Lineage: Eukaryota; Metazoa; Chordata; Amphibia; Anura; Pelobatidae
Source: the annotation of a GenBank genome assembly
UCAACUCCCAUUAAGCCAAGUUCCUGGAGGAGAUCACUAAGCUCGUCAUGCUAGAGCACUUUUUCAAUGGGCUACCCAAUGAUAAGGCGCAUUUGUAUGUCAUCCAUAUAAACUUUCGAUGCCAUUUACUGCGCCUACCAUGAUGACCAUGGGUAACGGGGAAUCAGGGUUCGAUUCCGGAGAGGGAGCCUGAGAAACGGCUACCACAUGUAAGGAAGGCAACGGGCGCACAAAUGACCCACUCCCGACGUGGGAAGGUAGUGACGACAAAUAACAAUACAGGACUCUUUAGAGGGCCUGUAAUUGUAAUGAGUCCACUUGAAAUUCUUUAACUAUGAUCAAUUGGAGGGCAAGUCUGGUGUAGAGCGACUGACCUGUGCGUGCUGCAGCUGAAACUCCACUA